Molecule: ribosomal RNA, 395 nt
Filed under: uncultured bacterium
Lineage: Bacteria
Description: partial 16S ribosomal RNA
Rfam family: Bacterial small subunit ribosomal RNA
Source: RNAcentral
CCUACGGGAGGCAGCAGUGAGGAAUAUUGGUCAAUGGGCGAAAGCCUGAACCAGCCAAGUAGCGUGAGGGAUGACUGCCCUAUGGGUUGUAAACUUCUUUUAUAAAGGAAUAAAACGAGGCACGUGUGCCUUUCUGCAUGUACUUUAUGAAUAAGGAUCGGCUAACUCCGUUCCAGCAGCCGCGGUAAUACGGAGGAUCCGAGCGUUAUCCGGAUUUAUUGGGUUUAAAGGGAGCGUAGAGGGGUUGUUAAGUCAGUUGUGAAAGUUUGCGGCUCAACCGUAGAAUUGCAGUUGAUACUGGCAGGCGUGAGUACAGAUGAGGUAGGCGGAAUUCGUGGUGUAGCGGUGAAAUGCAUAGAUAUCACGAAGAACCCCGAUGGCGAAGGCAGCCUACU